CAGGGCGUGCCUAAUACAUGCAAGUCGAACGAGUUCUCGUUGAUGAUCGGUGCUUGCACCGAGAUUCAACAUGGAACGAGUGGCGGACGGGUGAGUAACACGUGGGUAACCUGCCCUUAAGUGGGGGAUAACAUUUGGAAACAGAUGCUAAUACCGCAUAGAUCCAAGAACCGCAUGGUUCUUGGCUGAAAGAUGGCGUAAGCUAUCGCUUUUGGAUGGACCCGCGGCGUAUUAGCUAGUUGGUGAGGUAAUGGCUCACCAAGGCGAUGAUACGUAGCCGAACUGAGAGGUUGAUCGGCCACAUUGGGACUGAGACACGGCCCAAACUCCUACGGGAGGCAGCAGUAGGGAAUCUUCCACAAUGGACGCAAGUCUGAUGGAGCAACGCCGCGUGAGUGAAGAAGGCUUUCGGGUCGUAAAACUCUGUUGUUGGAGAAGAAUGGUCGGCAGAGUAACUGUUGUCGGCGUGACGGUAUCCAACCAGAAAGCCACGGCUAACUACGUGCCAGCAGCCGCGGUAAUACGUAGGUGGCAAGCGUUAUCCGGAUUUAUUGGGCGUAAAGCGAGCGCAGGCGGUUUUUUAAGUCUGAUGUGAAAGCCCUCGGCUUAACCGAGGAAGCGCAUCGGAAACUGGGAAACUUGAGUGCAGAAGAGGACAGUGGAACUCCAUGUGUAGCGGUGAAAUGCGUAGAUAUAUGGAAGAACACCAGUGGCGAAGGCGGCUGUCUGGUCUGUAACUGACGCUGAGGCUCGAAAGCAUGGGUAGCGAACAGGAUUAGAUACCCUGGUAGUCCAUGCCGUAAACGAUGAAUGCUAGGUGUUGGAGGGUUUCCGCCCUUCAGUGCCGCAGCUAACGCAUUAAGCAUUCCGCCUGGGGAGUACGACCGCAAGGUUGAAACUCAAAGGAAUUGACGGGGGCCCGCACAAGCGGUGGAGCAUGUGGUUUAAUUCGAAGCAACGCGAAGAACCUUACCAGGUCUUGACAUCUUUUGAUCACCUGAGAGAUCAGGUUUCCCCUUCGGGGGCAAAAUGACAGGUGGUGCAUGGUUGUCGUCAGCUCGUGUCGUGAGAUGUUGGGUUAAGUCCCGCAACGAGCGCAACCCUUAUGACUAGUUGCCAGCAUUUAGUUGGGCACUCUAGUAAGACUGCCGGUGACAAACCGGAGGAAGGUGGGGAUGACGUCAAAUCAUCAUGCCCCUUAUGACCUGGGCUACACACGUGCUACAAUGGAUGGUACAACGAGUUGCGAGACCGCGAGGUCAAGCUAAUCUCUUAAAGCCAUUCUCAGUUCGGACUGUAGGCUGCAACUCGCCUACACGAAGUCGGAAUCGCUAGUAAUCGCGGAUCAGCACGCCGCGGUGAAUACGUUCCCGGGCCUUGUACACACCGCCCGUCACACCAUGAGAGUUUGUAACACCCGAAGCCGGUGGCGUAACCCUUUUAGGGAGCGAGCCGUCUAAGGUGGGACAAAUGAUUAGGGUGAAGUCGUAACAAGAGGAACG
RNAcentral lists this ribosomal RNA (1502 nucleotides) under Lacticaseibacillus paracasei. Its description in RNAcentral is "bacterial SSU rRNA". It matches the Rfam family "Bacterial small subunit ribosomal RNA". The record is from RNAcentral. Lineage: Bacteria; Bacillati; Bacillota; Bacilli; Lactobacillales; Lactobacillaceae.